CCCUUAGAUGUUCUGGGCCGCACGCGCGCUACACUGAUGCAUUCAACGAGCCUAUCCUUGACCGACAGGUCCGGGUAAUCUUUGAAUCUGCAUCGUGACGGGGAAAGAUUAUUGCAAUUAUUAAUCUUCAACGAGGAAUGUCUAGUAGGCGCAAGUCAUCAGCUUGCGUCGAUUACGUCCCUGCCCUUUGUACACACCGCCCGUCGCUCCUACCGAUUGAUUGAUCCGUGAAUUACAUAGAAUUUUGCGUUUUACAUGACGGAAGAUGAAGUGUUUUAAACCUUAUCAUUUAGAGGAAGGAGAAGUCGUAACA
This 313-nucleotide ribosomal RNA is filed under the name uncultured eukaryote. RNAcentral describes it as "partial 18S ribosomal RNA". It matches the Rfam family "Eukaryotic small subunit ribosomal RNA", at positions 1470 to 1796 of the family's 1831-position model. The record is from RNAcentral.